GACGAACGCUGGCGGCGUGCUUAACACAUGCAAGUCGUACGGUAAGGCCCUUUCGGGGGUACACGAGUGGCGAACGGGUGAGUAACACGUGAGUAACCUGCCCACAACUUUGGGAUAACGCUAGGAAACUGGUGCUAAUACUGGAUAUGUGCCCCUGCUGCAUGGUGGGGGUUGGAAAGCUCCGGCGGUUGUGGAUGGACUCGCGGCCUAUCAGCUUGUUGGUGGGGUAGUGGCCUACCAAGGCGGCGACGGGUAGCCGGCCUGAGAGGGUGACCGGCCACAUUGGGACUGAGAUACGGCCCAGACUCCUACGGGAGGCAGCAGUGGGGAAUAUUGCACAAUGGGCGCAAGCCUGAUGCAGCAACGCCGCGUGCGGGAUGACGGCCUUCGGGUUGUAAACCGCUUUCAGCAGGGACGAAGCUUUUUGUGACGGUACCUGCAGAAGAAGCACCGGCGAACUACGU
Molecule: ribosomal RNA, 464 nt
Filed under: uncultured bacterium
Lineage: Bacteria
Description: partial 16S ribosomal RNA
Rfam family: Bacterial small subunit ribosomal RNA
Source: RNAcentral